RNAcentral lists this ribosomal RNA (863 nucleotides) under Bacillus thuringiensis. RNAcentral describes it as "bacterial LSU rRNA". It matches the Rfam family "Bacterial large subunit ribosomal RNA", at positions 1170 to 2040 of the family's 2925-position model. The record is from RNAcentral. Lineage: Bacteria; Bacillati; Bacillota; Bacilli; Caryophanales; Bacillaceae.
AUGUACCGGGGCUAAAUACACCACCGAAGCUGCGAAUUGAUACCAAUGGUAUCAGUGGUAGGGGAGCGUUCUAAGUGCAGUGAAGUCAGACCGGAAGGACUGGUGGAGCGCUUAGAAGUGAGAAUGCCGGUAUGAGUAGCGAAAGACGGGUGAGAAUCCCGUCCACCGAAUGCCUAAGGUUUCCUGAGGAAGGCUCGUCCGCUCAGGGUUAGUCAGGACCUAAGCCGAGGCCGACAGGCGUAGGCGAUGGACAACAGGUUGAUAUUCCUGUACCACCUCUUUAUCGUUUGAGCAAUGGAGGGACGCAGAAGGAUAGAAGAAGCGUGCGAUUGGUUGUGCACGUCCAAGCAGUUAGGCUGAUAAGUAGGCAAAUCCGCUUAUCGUAAAGGCUGAGCUGUGAUGGGGAAGCUCCUUAUGGAGCGAAGUCUUUGAUUCCCCGCUGCCAAGAAAAGCUUCUAGCGAGAUAAAAGGUGCCUGUACCGCAAACCGACACAGGUAGGCGAGGAGAGAAUCCUAAGGUGUGCGAGAGAACUCUGGUUAAGGAACUCGGCAAAAUGACCCCGUAACUUCGGGAGAAGGGGUGCUUUCUUAACGGAAAGCCGCAGUGAAUAGGCCCAAGCGACUGUUUAGCAAAAACACAGCUCUCUGCGAAGCCGUAAGGCGAAGUAUAGGGGGUGACACCUGCCCGGUGCUGGAAGGUUAAGGAGAGGGGUUAGCGUAAGCGAAGCUCUGAACUGAAGCCCCAGUAAACGGCGGCCGUAACUAUAACGGUCCUAAGGUAGCGAAAUUCCUUGUCGGGUAAGUUCCGACCCGCACGAAAGGUGUAACGAUUUGGGCACUGUCUCAACCAGAGACUCGGUGAA